AACGAACGCUGGCGGCAUGCCUAACACAUGCAAGUCGAACGAGACCUUCGGGUCUAGUGGCGCACGGGUGCGUAACGCGUGGGAACCUGCCCUUAGGUUCGGAAUAACUCCCCGAAAGGGGUGCUAAUACCGGAUAAUGUCUUCGGACCAAAGAUUUAUCGCCUUUGGAUGGGCCCGCGUUGGAUUAGCUAGUUGGUAGGGUAAAAGCCUACCAAGGCGACGAUCCAUAGCUGGUCUGAGAGGAUGAUCAGCCACACUGGGACUGAGACAAGGCCCAGACUCCUACGGGAGGCAGCAGUGGGGAAUAUUGGACAAUGGGCGAAAGCCUGAUCCAGCAAUGCCGCGUGAGUGAUGAAGGCCUUAGGGUGGUAAAGCUCUUUUACCCGGGAUGAUAAGGACAGUACCGGGAGAAGAAGCGCCGGCUAACUCCGU
RNAcentral lists this ribosomal RNA (432 nucleotides) under uncultured bacterium. Its description in RNAcentral is "partial 16S ribosomal RNA". It matches the Rfam family "Bacterial small subunit ribosomal RNA", at positions 29 to 506 of the family's 1533-position model. The record is from RNAcentral.